UUCUUGCAGCUAUAAAAAUAUUUAUCGUGACAUGGAGCAGAGCAUCAAAACAGCGGAUGCUGUUGAAGAUCUAAGGUGGUUCAGAGCUAAUCAUGGACCUGGCAUGUCUAUGAACUGGCCCCAGUUUGAGGACUGGUCAGCUGAUUUGAACCGUUCUCUAAGUAGAAGGGAGAAAAAAAAGGCAACAGAUGGUGUGACUUUGACCAAUAUUAACCAAACAGGAGAUCAGCAAUCGCCGCAAAAAAAUAGCAGGUAGAUGAUAUUUUU
This is a non-coding RNA of Pseudonaja textilis, 267 nucleotides long. The record is from RefSeq and is a predicted model, not a curated record. Lineage: Eukaryota; Metazoa; Chordata; Lepidosauria; Squamata; Elapidae.